Molecule: ribosomal RNA, 513 nt
Filed under: uncultured bacterium
Lineage: Bacteria
Description: bacterial SSU rRNA
Rfam family: Bacterial small subunit ribosomal RNA
Source: RNAcentral
GAUGAACGCUAGCGGGAGGCUUAACACAUGCAAGUCGAGGGGCAGCAUAGGGUAGCAAUACUCUGAUGGCGACCGGCAAACGGGUGAGUAACGCGUAUGCAACCUACCCUGUACAGGGGGAUAACCCGGAGAAAUUCGGACUAAUAUCCCGUAAUAAUAUCCGGAGGCAUCUUUGGAUAUUUAAAGUUCCGACGGUACGGGAUGGGCAUGCGUAACAUUAGCUGGUUGGUAAGGUAACGGCUUACCAAGGCUAUGAUGUUUAGGGGUCCUGAGAGGGUGGUCCCCCACACUGGUACUGAGACACGGACCAGACUCCUACGGGAGGCAGCAGUGAGGAAUAUUGGUCAAUGGGCGCAAGCCUGAACCAGCCAUCCCGCGUGCAGGAAGACGGCCCUAUGGGUUGUAAACUGCUUUUCCAGGGAGAGAAACUUACGCACGUGUUGCGUGACUGACGGUACCCUGGGAAUAAGCAUCGGCUAACUCCGUGCCAGCAGCCGCGGUAAACCGAGAGUA